Molecule: ribosomal RNA, 109 nt
Filed under: uncultured bacterium
Lineage: Bacteria
Description: partial 16S ribosomal RNA
Rfam family: Bacterial small subunit ribosomal RNA
Source: RNAcentral
GCCUGACGCAGCGACGCCGUGUGGGCGAUGAAGGCCUUCGGGUUGUAAAGCCCUGUGAGGUGGAAAGAAGGGUCCGGAGGUUAAUACCCUUUGGACCUUGACGGUACCA